CCUACGGGUGGCAGCAGUGAGGAAUAUUGGUCAAUGGGCGCGAGCCUGAACCAGCCAAGUAGCGUGAAGGAUGACUGCCCUACGGGUUGUAAACUUCUUUUAUAAAGGAAUAAAGCGAGGCACGUGUGCCUUUGUGCAUGUACUUUAUGAAUAAGGAUCGGCUAACUCCGCGCCAGCAGCCGCGGUAAUACGGUGUGUCCGAGCGUUAUCCGGAUUUAUUGGGCUUAAAGGGAGCCUAGAUGGGUUGUUAAGUCAGUUGUGAAAUUUUGGGGCUCAACCGUAAAAUUGCACUUGAUACUGGCAGUCUUGAGUACAGUUGAGGUAGGCGGAAUUCGUGGUGUAGCGGUGAAAUGCUUAGAGAUCACGAAGAACCCCGAUUGCGAAGGCAGCUUACUAAACUGAGACUGACAUUGCUGCUCGAAAGUGUGGGUAUCAAACAGGAUUAGAUACCCUUGUAGUC
This 460-nucleotide ribosomal RNA is filed under the name uncultured bacterium. Its description in RNAcentral is "partial 16S ribosomal RNA". It matches the Rfam family "Bacterial small subunit ribosomal RNA", at positions 338 to 795 of the family's 1533-position model. The record is from RNAcentral.